UAUGACUUCCAAGUAGGCUUUAACCUACUUUCUUUGUUUAAAUAAGUAAUUAUUUAAUUUAAUUAUUUUUAGUCUCAUGAGUUCCAGUAUCAUCAGUUCAGAAGCCUUUACUCCUAUAAAGAAGAUGGGGAUUCAUGCUCUAACACUUUGGAAGGGAGGUGCAGACCACAUGCACUCACAUGCUGUCCCAAAGGACAGCACUCUCGUGAAGAAAACCUUGUGAAGAAAACCUUGUGAAGAGCUUUUGCCCUUUAACUAGAAAAAUGUGCCAAGACUGGAGCAGUAGCCCAGCACCCUGCAUCAUAGGUAAAUGUGGGAACAAUAUUAGAGAAUGUUACACUAGUUCGUUAAAGACAA
RNAcentral lists this long non-coding RNA (357 nucleotides) under Mustela putorius furo (domestic ferret). RNAcentral's name for it is "lncRNA (ENSMPUG00000030845.1)". Lineage: Eukaryota; Metazoa; Chordata; Mammalia; Carnivora; Mustelidae. The record is from RNAcentral.